RNAcentral lists this long non-coding RNA (23914 nucleotides) under Eucalyptus grandis. RNAcentral's name for it is "long non-coding RNA (EGRA_LNC000484)". The record is from RNAcentral. Lineage: Eukaryota; Viridiplantae; Streptophyta; Magnoliopsida; Myrtales; Myrtaceae.
UCGAUCAAGUUGUUUGUUCCUAAUAGCAAGAUAGAUACGUGGCUUUUGAGAUUAUAGUGGGUUCGUGUUUGAUCCAAAAAAUUUGUGCGAGUCGUGCGUCGUUGAAUUGCUAGCAAGAAGUCAUUAGAAAGUAAGGAAAUAAAAUAACCUGAACUUUUCUUGUUUGAAGGCUGAGGAUCGAGCCUAAAAAAGAAUCCUUUCUCGUUCUUUUAAGCAGCGCUGAAUCCGUUGCGUUAUCGAAAGGAACUAGCUGGUGAACUUACGAUGCUUCGUAUGAAUUCGGGGAAAUCAUGCAAGUUCAUCAGAAACCCUAGAAAUGGUUGCUCUUGCUGGUGCACUGCACGUUAGAGGAUUCAGCACCUUCUUCCCACUUCUUUACUGAAAAGAGAAGACAACGUAUCAAUGGACAUUCCACUCGGCACAAGAUAAAAAAAAAAAAAAGCGUCGAUGCUUCAUUAACACGUGCAAUAUUUGAUCCACACCGCAAGGCCGCGGCGGUGUCGGAGAAGCGAAGAGGAGGUGAAGAGAGCUCUUGCCGGAUGAGAAGGUGUGAGGGAGAGCAUCUCGCGGUGGCAGUCCGGUGACUUUCACGGUCGCGGCGGCUAUUUUCUCCCCGGGGUCGGAGCUUACUAGGGAAGCGAGGUGUCUACCAGGGCGUCUCCCAUGGUCCGAAUAUUUCAAAAACGAAAGGUUGAAGAAGAUGACGACGACGAAGAAGAUGUUUGAUUUCUUUGGGGAUAAUUUUAUUAUUUUAUUUUAUCUCUUUUUCAGGUGUCGAGACGGAUCGGGCCUGAGAAAUGAAGUGGGCCGGGUUGGGCCAUCGUACGUGUGGGCCUGAGUCAUUGGGCCAUUCGCAUUGCCCAACCAUCCAAAGGAUUCUACAAAUGAGAUGAUUUUCACUGAAUUUUUUUAAGUUAUUUGAAGCAAUUUUCGCAACCAUAAUUUUUUUUCAUUGACCUUAUGUCUACGCUCUCCUAUGAUAAACAAUGGCGACGGCUUUUGUUCUCGAUAUUCGACCGUCAAGUUUUAUGAACGGCCAUCCAAGAAAUUACAUACAUUCUGUCUCUUGCUCCGCCCACCUAUUCGACCUCUCUCUGCUAUGGUCGCGCCCCUUUUCUCCUAUGAUAUGAGAACAUGCAUGCUCUAGUUCCUAAAAGAGUCCACCAUCAAGAAUAUGCAUUUCGAAAUUAAUUAAUUUGCCAUUUUCCUUAUUUUUCUAUUAUAUAACAUCACGUUCUCACAUGUGUGUUAUUGUGAAGUGGGACCUCGGAAAAGGUGAAUUGAAAUGCUCCAAUCUGAAGGGUGAUCCAGUAUUUCAUAAAUUGUGCAUGCUAUUUUGGUAAUGAAUUGUUUUAGCACAUGUACAAUGCACUUUCGUUUUUUCAAAUUAUAUCGUCAGCAAAAGUAUGGAUAAUAACUUGAAGUGAAACCAUUUUUGGAGGCCCAAGCCCAACUGAUCCAUUUCAAGAAAAUAUCCUUGGCCCAUCAUGUAAGAACGGAGAAUUAGAUAGCAGAUUGGUUAGCCAAAGCCAAAGAUACUCUUCCACCUGCUUGGUUAACUCAAGCGCCCCAACUUUUAUGGAAUUUGCUUUAGUUUUUUUUUUUUUUUUAUGGAAUUUGCUUUAGUUUGAUGUCCCAUCUUCGAGCUUUUUGUCUAAGAACUCGUGAUGACAAAUAAAAGUAGUUUUUCAGACAAAAAAAAAUGAGAAGGGAAAAGUACCAGAAAAGUAAAUUUAUUAUAUUGAUAGCAAUUGAAUCAUAAGUAUUUCAAUUAGAUCAAUUUAGUUUUAUACAUUUUCACAUUGGCACCAAUUCAAUUCACUCCGCCAAUUGGGGUUAGAAAUUGUUGACGUGGACGUUGGUUGACACUGAUAUAGAUAUUUUUAAUAAUAUAUUUUAUUAUUAUUUUUAUUUUUUCUCUUUUCUUGCCUUUUUUUUUGUCGGUGGCCAACCAUCGGUCACAACCAUGGCCAGCAAGGGCUGGCCUCAUUUGGGUGAGGUUGCCCUCACUAGGUUGAGGGGGAGUGUUAGCCGUCCAAGCACAAUAUAGAUUGAAUUGGUAUCAACAUAAAAAGGUUGAAAACUAUAUUAGUCCAACUGAAAAGUUUAGGAUUGAAUUGACAUCAAUACAAUAGGUUUAUUACUCUUUCGAUACUUUUUUCGAGAAGGUGGAAAGCAUCACCAAGUCCCGUCUUAUAAAUUUAAUAGAUUAACAGUUGGAUAGUCUGCUACAAAGAUUAGUUCUACAGAAUUGACGACCAUGAUGAACUUUCCCCGAGUUAUCACUUACAAAUAUGACAUAGAGACACACAAGGACAGAUCAUAUGACACCACACCACACCACACCACUCCAAAUGUGCAUACUAAGAAGUGAAAUUAGGCUCAUACUCACUCUCAAAUUCCCAAAGUGCACUCGUUAGAAUUAGGAGAGUACUCAUAUUUAAGGGUGACAAUAGGAAUUUUAAAUUAUAUAUAAAUAAUCGUUGUUACUCUUUUUUUUUAUUGUGAAUUUUCUUUUUUAUUUUAGAAUUCAAAUAUUAUUUAUAUUUAUUUAUUAUUCUUUAAUAAUUUAAUAAGUUAUAUGAGAAGAUAGUUUUCAUACUAUAGAUAUAUGAAAUCUUUUCCAUCUUUAUCUUAUCUCUCUCAUGAGAUAUUUUUAUUUUGGUUACAUCUCUCUUAUAUCCAAUCUUAUCAUGUCAUAAGCAUGAACCAAAUAUAGGAUAAGAUAGAAAUUAUUAUAUCCUAACUUUUACUGACUACAAAACUUAGCAUAAACUCAUACACUGUCGGAUUUUCAAAAGGCAUUCACUGGACUCUACUGCUAUUUUAGGGAUCGCAAUUAUGAAUUUCAUUUAUAAAUAAUAGAAAAUACUUGAAUGGAGAGAGAGAGAAAGAGUCAAAAGCUUCAAUUUCUAAAUGACAAAAUUGCCCCCUCUCUAGCCAUCGGAAUAAGCAAGCUGAUAAAGAGUUGAUCAGCCGAUGAGUUCAAACUCUUAUUUGAGAUUAAAUAAAACCACUUCACACUUUUAUUUGAGAUAAAUUAUACUUUUAACCUUCUUUUAAGGAAACAACCAUACUCAAAACCCUUAUUACAAAAUUUUCCCUUCAUAAUAUGUUUUUUAUUAGAAUAUUCAAAAUAAUAAAUUACACAUUUAUUUAACUUCUUAAAUUUAUAAAAUAAUUAGUAAUAAUUUCAUAAAUUCUCCUAUAACAUCAUAAUAAGACGUCUUAUUUUCAUGAUAUUUAACCUUCCCCCCCUUCCCGCGAAAAAGGGAAUCAAAAGGCUCCGAUUCAAAGAGCGGUCCACCAUUUCAAAGAUUGGACACCACUACUUUGGCGAUGGAUUAUCUUAAUGCGCACGCAUCACGCUUUCACUUGUUCAAGUUAUCUUGUCAACGAACUAAUGGUAUGGAUCAAGCCACCCGUCCAAAUCGAAAAUCUUUCAUGGUCUUGUCAAAUCAUUCACACGUGAAAAACCAUCGUAAAAAGAAAGGCAGCGAGACUUCCAAAAGGAGUCCUCGGGGUCGUUUAACAAUUCCUUUUGGCGCGCGUUUCAUGCGCUCGUGUGAAAAGCAGAUACACGGUUUCAAACAUCGGGAAGAAUGACCUGGACAUCACCUUUAUAAUUUAUAAGAACCUUCUCAAAUUAAAUAUAACACGUGGAAUAUAAAAAGAAAAAUAAUGGUGAAUCUCAUUCGUCAUUAACAUAUCACUUAGCGGAUGCGAAAAAACACUUGGGCUCCGUUCGUUUCGCGGAAAAUAAUUUAUGAGAAAACGUUUUUCGAAUUUUCCGACGUUCGUUUCACAUAAAAUGAAUUAUUUAGAAAAAUAUUCCCCAUCAAAAGAAAAAAGUCUUCUAAAGUAAGGGAAAAUGUUUUUUCACUUUUGAAAAGUGGAAAACAUUUUCUUCACUUGAUCUCUUUUACCUCACAUUUUUACAAAUCCUCACUUCUUUCUCCCAUUUUUUCUUUUUCUUUUCUUUUUUCAUUUGAAUUAUUUUUUAAUUAUUUUUCUUUUUUUUCUUUAUUUCUCAUCUUCUUCUUUAUUGGCUAGUCUCGCGCUCAUCGAUCUGACGAGUCUCAAGCUUGAUGCUCACGCUCACCAAUCUAAUGAACGGAAAAUAUUUUCUUUACCGAACGCUAAAAAAUAUUUUUCGAAAUAUUUUCAGGUUUUAACUGAACACCAGAAAGUAUUGUUAUUUUUCUGGAAAAAUAUUUUUCAGAAAUAGCUAAUUUUCUGCGAAACGAACGACCCUUAAUUUCAUGGUGAAAAUGAAGUGGGGAGUAAAUCACUUGGUGAAUCAAUGAGGAACUUUUUGGUUGAGAGGCAGGAGUGGCCACCGCCGCCGCCCCCUCGAGUUUGCCAGUGUUCUAUCGUAAUGGUUGAGUGAGAUUACAGUGGUGGAGUGUGACAUCGUGGAAUAUAUCUUAUCACCUUUUGUUUUUCUUCUUUUUUUUCCCGGGGGGGGGGGGGGGGGGGGGGGGGGGGUGAGAACUCGCCUUUAUUAAACUUAACGCGAGGAUUACUUUCAUUAUAAUUUUAGAAGUUAAUAAUACUGGUUAGAGCAAAAAUCAUACUUUCUAGCCAAGUUGACGACAAAAAUAUAGUAAUUUCCUAAUUACUUACGCAUUUAUAAUCAAUUUUUUAAUGCCAAAAAAAUUAUUAAUCCCAAAUCCAUUAUGUGUGAUUUUACACCUUUUUUUCAUUUGAAAAAGACACUAACGAGGAAGAGCAAAGGCCAUCCUUUUGGUAAUUUAUCUUUCUCAAAAGAUUCUAGAUAAACACUCAAUAUUUUUCGGGUUAAUACCCUGAAAAACCAUAAACUAGUACAUUUAUGACAAAUUUACCCCAAACUAUUUUUUUAACUACGAAAAACCCUAAAUUGGUACACAUGUGACAAAUUUACAUAAAAAAAAAACCUAAACUGGUACAUUUAUGACAAUUUUACCCUAAACUAAUUUAUUCGACCGUAAAAAACUCCAAACUGGUAAAUUUGUGACAAAUAUACUCUUCGUUAAAUUAAAUUAAUACCACAAAAAAAUCACAAAAUUUGUAAAUUAUGACAAACGGAGCAUAAAAUCUUAAAUUUGUAUACUGGUCAACUGUUACGUGUUAUUUAACUUAGUAAUUUGACAAUAAAAUUUAACAAAAACUAACAUAUGGUAAAUUCGUCACAAGUGUACCAGUUUGAGGUAUAUAAGUUUGGGAUUUUUAGUUGUCAAAAAAAUAGUUUUGGAUAAAUUUAUCACAGAUGUACCAGUUUGGGAUUUUUCAGGAUAUUAACCCAUAUUUUUCCAUCCUCAUGCAAAUUCAUACAAUUUUACCACUAAAAUCAAGAAAAAAAGAUGUUUGAUAUAUAUAUAUAUCUCGAAAGAAAUAAAGACCCUACGUACCGGCCGUUUCUUAUGAUGGGUAAAAACGAAAUGAUUACUAAUCUAGAAAUCUUGUAAUUGUUGUAUUAGUAACGAAACACUUCACGCCAUGAUUUGAGUCUGCUCAGAAUUAGAUACUCUUCACGAUUCUGCUCAGAAUUAGAUAUCCUUCACGAGUAAAACGUUCCUGCUUAGGAGUUGCUAUGCUGUCCAUGCGAGAAUAUGAAGGUCAUGAUGCGAUGGACCGAGUUUUUCCUCAGCAUUAAAAUGAGAGCUAAUCAUUCCCUUCUUCGACUUUCCAUUGAGGUGGAAUUCAACAUGGGUAUCGGGUUGAAAGAUGUUUUACAACGAAAAUGACAUUUAUGCAACCCAUCUUGAAAGUGUUAGUUCAUGCAAGCGUAAAAAUUUCUCCAUUUUGCAUGAAUAAUGAAAAUACCAAAAUAAAUUGGUAAAAACUUGUCAAGAAACUGCAUUAUUCUUUUAUUCUCCAAAGCGUUCUUAUUUUUUUGACCAAAAAUAAAAGCGUUCUUAUUUUUAAUUUUACAUAAAGUAACUUCAUGUUUGGCAAUAAUAGUAUUAAUACAUACGUCUUUUGAGAAUAAAUUAAAAUAAGGAGAAAAUACUCAAGGGGAUACAUUACUUUAUUGCUAAUUCUAUUGAUCUCUUCACUAUUCAAAUUCGAUUUGUUCCUCUUAACAAUAGGUUCAUUUUUUGUUAAGUGAAACCGCGGAUAGGUCUCACAUGUCGUUCAUUUUGAUAGCGAAUAUCGGACAUUUAUGAAACUUUUUUUAGCUAAAUUUUUGUAUUUAUUUAUUUUUUCUAAUUACCCACGGACUGCCGACCACCGUCCAUCGCCGCACGACCGCCGCACGAUCACGGCACGACUAUCGCACGACCACCACACAAUUGCCGAUCGUUACCGCCGACCGCCGCCACAAGAUUGCCUCCCACGACCCACCAGCCGUAGGAUGGGGCAGUGGCCAGUGAGCUAUGGGCGGCAAUCUUGCAAUGGCGGUCGGCGGUGAUGAUCGGCGAUUGUGCGGCGGUCGUGCCACGGUCGUGCGAUGGCGGGCGGCAGUCCAUGAGUAAUUAGAAAAAACAAAUAAAUACAAAAAUUUAUAAGUUUUUACCGAACGCAUUUCUAUUCUUUUUCUAUUCCAAUAAUAUAAAUUUUGUAUAAUUAUCAAAUACUUUAUUUUACUCAGAAAUUAUUUUCGGAGUCCAAAAGGAGAGUCCUCGCUGUUGUUUAACAUUUCUUUUUUGGGCGUGCGUUUCAUGCGCUCGUGUGAAAAGCAGAAACACGGUUUCAAACAUCAGGAAGAAUGACCCGGACAUCACCUUCAUAAUCUAUAAGGACCUUGUCAAAUUAAAUGUAACACGUGGGAUAUAAUAGGAAAACAAUGGUGAGUCUCAUUCGUCAUUAAUAUAUCACUUAGCAGAUGCGAAAAAAAGAAAUUAAUUUCGAGGUGGAAAGGAAGCAGGGAGUUAAUCAUAAUGAGAACCAGUGAAGAACUUUUCAAUCGAGAGGUGGGGGCUGCCGACCCCGUCACCACAACCCUCCCCUUGAGUUUGCCAGUGUAAUGGGUGGGUGAGAUUAGGAAUAGCAGAGCAUGACACCAUCACGAAGUAAGAUUUGACCGGUUCCCGUUACUCUGCUCCUCCCUUGAAACGGAAUGUUUGGCGAUCAGAUGGGUCGGUUUGGGUGGCGGCAGCGGUUGCACCGCUGCUCUAUGCCACUUGCUGUUGGUUGGACCUUCAUCAACAGUAAACUUUGAAAGCUUGGACGUACUCAAUUGAAGUGCAUAAACUUGUCAACAUUGAUAUCUAAAUAUUCUGUGCAUCUUUUAUUCUAUCAUAGGUUCAUGACGCGUCAACUACUGUUUAUAUUAGUGUGGCUUCUGAUUUCUUUCUGGUUAGAACUACCUUUUUUCUUAAGGAAAAAAUGAUUAAUAAAAAAUAGAAAAUAUCUUUAACCCACUCAAUGUCAGAUGGUCUACUAAGUGUCCUUUACAUGGGUUCAUCUCCUAUUUGGUUCAUAGUGCAAUUUGUCAUAGACGUGAACUCAGAUCUUUCGCUGAGCAAAUCCUCACUUAGUAAAGUUGACAAAAAUUGUACGGUUCGUUUGUUUCGCUUUAGGAAAAAAAAAAAACAACUACUUUCUUUGUCAUAGAUGAGACUUCGAUCUUUCUCUAAGCAAAUCAUCACUUAGUAAAGUUGACAACAAUUAUAGGGUUCGUUUAUUCGCUUAAUUAAGAAAAAAAAACACUUUCUUUAACCCAUACAAUCUCAGAUGGUCUACUAAGUGUCCUUUACAUAGGUUGCGGACUUAGGAAUUUGUUCUCAAGUUGACCUUACUUAAUCAUAUUAUAUAUGAGUUGCAGUUUUAGGAAUUUCUUCUCAAGUUAACCUUACUUACUGAUACCCACAGGGAUUUAUUACAUAGGUUGCAAUCUUAGGAUUUAUUACAUAGGUUGCGAUCUUAGGAAUUUCUUCUCAAGUUAACCUUACUUACUGAUACCCACAAAGAUUGUAGAGAGAGUAAUUCUAGAAAGAAAAGCUCUGAAUAUUGUAUUACUUGUGAGACAGAUAUAAAUGAGGGAGGACGUCCCUAUAUACAAGUACAGGCUCAAUUGGAGCCGUACAUCUUUCCUCAAUCUAACGAUAGAGUUUGCAUCUCUCCAUUUAUCUAAUCACCCGCAUUGAUUACAAGAGUGUAUAAUUAUAGUAUCGCCGCUCCAAGAGUAUUCUAGAUUCGGGGGAUAUUUGAAGGUGGCUCAUUGCUGGAUUUGUCACAGUCUUUUGUUCAGAAAACCUCUCGAUCGCAUUGCUUUUUUGGGCCGUGACAAUUGCAUAUUCCAUGGGUUAUAUCUUUUUCCCCUCUAGCAAAUUUCUUCAUUAAGACAUCGAAAUUAAUUUGAUCAUAUGAAGGAAGGAUCCUAGUAAAGAGUUCUUUCAUUCCUAGUUGGUUGUGAAUUGCAGGUCAUCCAAUAAUUCGUUCUUUCUUGACUGGACAACAUUUGCAGCAAAUUAAGACAGUCAACACAAAAUGGAUGUUUAUUCUAUUUUCAUGAUAGAAUGAUUAUUCGAUUCUUUUUCCCCCUUUGAUCAUAAUUCAGUCAAAACUUAUUGAAUUAUUUUAAUACGUAGGAGGGCCAUCAUGGAGUUUCCUCUAUCAUAGUGUACAAUUUUUGUUAAAUCAAAAGCAAUCCCUCACUUGUCCGUGUUAAUUUUGCAAUCUAAUAAUCUAACUUUAUCAUGUAUUUAGAUACUUUUAUCUCGCACAAGAUGUCAUCGAGAGCACGAACGAUCUCAAGAGAUAAAUUGAACUAGGCAAUAUAUACAUAUAUUUAUUUCCAAAGCCUAAAUGGCUAUAACACACCCUAACGUAUAUUGACGACGAAGAAAACUUCAAGAGCACGGACCCAUCGAGAUGGGCCGAGACGGAUAUAAAUGGGAUAAUUUUAUUUUAUUCUCUCUUUCUUUUUCAGGUAUUGAGACGGAUCGGGCCUGAGAGAUGAAGUGGGCCGUGUUGAGCCAUCGCACGCGUGGGCCUAAUCAGUCAUUGGGCCAUUCGCAUUGCCCAACCAUCCUAAGGAUUCUACAUAUGAGAUGAUUUCCACUAAUUUUUAAGUUAUUAUCCGACAAAAAAAAAGUUAUUUAACAAUUUCCGCAACUAUAAUUAUUUUUCAUUAACCUUAUGUCUACACUCUACUAUGAUAGACACCGGCAAAAGCUUUUGUUCUCGAGAUUUAAUGUCAAGUUUCACGAACAAUCUUUAAGAAAUUACGUAUAUUUUAUCUUUUGCUUCACCCACUUGUUCGGCCUUUCUAUGCUAUAGUCACUUCCUUUUUCUACCUAUACUAAUGAGAACAUGCAUAAUCUAAUUCUUGAAAGAGUCCUCCAUCAAGAAUAUGCUUUUCAAAAUUAACUAAUUUGACAUUUCUCUUUUUUCUUUUAUUAUCUGAUGUUUUCACGUGUUUUAUUGCGAAAUGGGAACAAGAAAAAGGGGAAUAAAAACGGUCCAAUCUAAAGGGAGACCCACCAUCUCAUAAAAUACAAUACGUUCAUCAUUAGGCUAAAGAGCUAUUCAUUUCACGAGCUGCAUUGUAACAAAGUACAGUAUAUUCAUCCACUAUAUUGCUCCGAAGAAGAAGAAGAAAGUUUCCAACUUUAUUUCUCUUUGAGAUGCGGUCAGAUAACAAGUGAAGAUUGGACAAAACCACCAUCAUUUUAACCAAUUUUAAUCCUAUGAAUUGGCAAAGAGGGAAAAUACCAAAAAAUAGACGAGAGAAGGAGAAGGGAUGAACCUGAAGGCCUCAACCAGCGCAAGGGAUAUCUAGAAGCGAAGCGGAGCUAUACAUGGAGUCUGAUAACUUAGCAAUUAUCGGUUCCCCGCUGCAAGUGGACCACGUGGCAUGGAAGGCGGAAGCACUCAUUUUGGAGGCCCAACCCCAACUGAUCCGGCCUAAUCCACUCCCUACGCAACAAGUCACCUAGCCUCUCCUCUCCGGUCGGCCGCGCGGCUCCGAAUUCGCCCUCCCCCUCCUCCUCGUCCCCUUCCUCUUCAUCCUCCGACCCCAAUCCCAAAUUCCGCAACCUGAGCACGAUCCUCUCGAUCGCAUUCUGGCCUCUGUCGUUACCGGAGUACCUACGCUCAGCCUCGCCGCGGGAAUCGGAGCCGGCGACGUCGCCGGGCGACUCCUCGUCGAUCUCGCCGGUCGGCUGCGGCGAUGGCGGCGGCGGCGGCCACAUGUUGAGCCAAGGGGCGGAGUGCGGCUUGCCGCCGCUCCUUCCGUGGGAGGAGCUGGCGUCUCUGGGAUUGGUCGUGCGGGGGGACUGGCAGAAGCAGCGCCGUUCGAGCGCUGGAGGCCGCCGCCGUGGCGGCGCCGGAGAGGCGAAGAGGAGGUGGCGGGAGCUCUGGCCGGAGCCGGAGGAGGCGCGGGGGAGGGCGUUGCGCAGUGGCAGUUCGGUAAUUUCGGCAGUUGCGAAGGCCAUUUUCUUCCCCGGUGGGCUGGAGCUUCAGUGAAGCGAGGUGGGGGACGUAGCGUGUUUCAUUGUUUGGAUACUACAGAGGAGGAGAAAAAACAAGAGGACGAAGAAGACGAUGACGAAGAAGAUAUAUAUAUUUUUGGGGGAUAUUUUUUAUUUUUAUAAUCGUUCAGAGGUGGUGAGAUAGAGCGGGCCUGAGAAAUGAUGUGGGCCGUGUUGUGGGCCAUCACCCGCGUGAGCCCAAUCAGUCGUUGGCCCAUUUGCUUGAACUUGAUGGCGGGUGCGCUAGAUAACAAUGGCGCCCUAGUUUAUGUGAAAACUUCAUGAAAGAUGAAAAUACUUUUCGAAAAAUUAUUUUUUCAGGAAAAUAUUAGUUUUCCAUUAUUUGUUGAUAUGUCACCAAAAAAAUUUUCUAGUGUUUAGAUCUCAUUCAGAAUAUGAUUUUCAAUCUCAUGACUUUAUCUAAGACAAAAAAAAAAAAAAAAAACAACAAAUUUUUAAUAUCUUUUUCUUUUUAUUUUUCUUUUCUUUUCUUUCCUUCUAUGUCUAUCAAUUGCUAGGCCUAGACGAUACUCGACAACGGCCACAACCAAGCUCAAGCUCACUUAGAUCUAGCAAGCCCCAAGCUCACCUACCUCACCCAAGCUUGAGCACGCUUGGAUCAGCUAAGCCUCAAGCUAGUUGGCUUGCGUUGGUCAGGUUGCUAGCCAUUGCCGAGGCACAUAGCUGGUGGAUAAAGGAGAAAGGUGGAGAAAAGGGGAAAAAAAGAAAAAAUAAUAAAUUUAAUUAAUUAAAAAUAUAAAUAAUUAAAAUUUUACGUUUUUAAGAAUAUGUUUUUUGUAAUAACAAACAUUUCAUUAAACAAAGACCCAAGCUUGAGCAUCGAGAACCGGUGCAUGAUCUUUGUGAUCACAAGGCUAAGGGUUGAGACUAGAGUUCAAGCAUCGAGGCCUUGAGCUCAACUUUAUAGACCUAAGUUCAAGUGCCGAUACCCAAUGCCGAGAGCAGGACCCCCGUUCCAAACGUAGAGGUGCCGUAGCUAUUGUGCAUGCUUCCUAGCACGGGGAUGUCUCAUAACAGGAGGUUGUCGUGGCUACUAUACAAGCUAUGCAGUAGGGGGUUGUUGCUGCAAUAAGAGACCGUCACAGCUUAUGCAGAGGCUACACAACAAUAGAACAAGUUGACGCAAUUGCGGACAUGAAGAAUCGAGUUGGGAGAGGUAUAUUAGUAGUUUUUGAAAAAGAGAAUGACUUGUGCUGCAAAUGUUCACUAGCCUGAUAUCAAGAAAGAACAAUGUGGCAAAGAGUAGUUUCCAUAUAUCUUUGAAUAGUACACGAGCCCAUUUUUAAACUUUAUUAGAUGACCAUCAUAAUCAGGAUAUCAAUUAUAAUCAAUCGACAACAUGCACAAUCAAUGCAAAUAAAUGUAUAAUACUAAGGGAUAUGGAAAGUCAAGGAAAAUAUUCUAAUUAUUUAUAACAUGGGAAAAUAUCCUAAUUAUCUAUAACGGUGACUUCCCAUGGCGCGGCCUCCAUCUCCAUCAAUUAUCACCCCCAAGUACAGGUACAUCUGCCACUCUCUCUCUCUCUCUCUCUCUCUCUAGGGCACGAGUUUGAGGUCAAUGACCUCGUUCUAGAUAUAGAGCACUUGGGGGUUUGUUGGUGAUGGCCAAGGUGUCGCCGUUGCCGCCGCAUGCUCUAGGUGUUCGCUGAAGCGGCGUGAUGCAUGUGGAUUGCAAAAAAAAAAGUCCCGCACUUUUGCCAAAUGAAGAGCUAGCUUUUGUGAUGUAAUCAUAUCAAUUGGUAUUAGAGCCGUCCAUCAUCUCUUCCAAUUGAAAUUGAGAAGCGCGGGUGGCGACGCCGGUAUUGUAAUUGCCCGUAUUUAUCAAAAGGCUAGGUCAAAAUUAGCCCAGUGUAGAAGCUGGGUUUAGGAGCGUUGUGGACUGUCAUGGAUGAAAGCCUCUUUCUCAAUCUUUCAAUUUUUUUUUUAAUAGUUCGACCAAAAAAAAAAAUUAUAGUACUUUUACAGUUUGAAGCUAUUUUUAUAUGGCUUUUUAUGUUUAUGUAAAUUCCAAUAAGUGCCAGAUGUCUUAUUUAAGGAAAAAAAAAAGAAUUAUAAGUUUCUGUUUUGGAGGUUUGAAAUACUUUUAACUCUAGUCAAGAAAAACAAAAUCGGGGUCUUAUAUUAAAAGUAAUGGAAACGAGAUAAAAAAUAAAAAGAAAAAAAGAAAGGUGGCAAUCAUCGCUAAAUUCUGUUUGUUCUUGUUAAUUUCCACAUUAUCAUCGAUACAUUCGAAAGUUCAAACACUUUAUCGAAAUCAUGACAAUAUAGUAUUCAGAAAAGUUGAUUAGCGGAAUGAGUUUUGCUCAUUUUAUUUUAUUGGGUCAAUCACACGUUUGAUGAAACAUAUAAUUAAUAUUUAUAUUUCCUUGGACUAUAAAGAAAAGUUAGCAACCUUUCUACAUCAAUGACGGCAAAAAAGGUAAAUGGAACGCAAUCAUGUAUACACAGAACAAUAUUAUCUAAAGUGUACACAGAUGCACACCUAAUCAAGAGUACUUUAGGUUCAUGGAUAUCGAGGAACGCAUUUAGCGUGCAUGGAGGAAGUCUUAUUUAUCAAGUGACAUGAUUGUGACUAUUGAUGAAAUAUAUGAAAUCUGCAGCCUUUUAAGUUGCUAAUCGAGAAAAGACAUAAAAAAAAAAUCAUGUCUCCGUUUACAAAAGAAACCAGAGUAAUUGGAUAUUAGCCUAAUUCAUCCAUCAACGGCUGUGAAUUUGGUGUUGAAUUCGUUCUGCACCAGGUGCUGCAGCGGCUGGGAACUCUUGCUGCUGCGUCAAUUUACAGGUUGAGCGUCUAAAAUGUUCAAGGGUUUUACACUGUCUCGUAUGGACUCAGAAUCUGUUUCUCGAACUUGUUGAUUGGGUUGCUUUCGCCAAAGGUUGAUCCAAAGAUGAAAGUCCGGGGGACGGGGCCUCGUUGCGACGAAAGGAUCACAUUGACUUUAAGCUUUUCCUUCGCCGCCUUCAAGUCCUGGUAAUCUGAAAUUCCGCUGUUAUGGCUUUGCUAAAAUCAUUUGCUUAGUUCUCAGAGAUUGAAUUCUCUUCUGCACUUCACUGGUGCUGGGAGUAGUACUAGUUUUGUAGGUUACGACUUUGUGUAUACAUUGUUUUUUUUUGUCUUUUAACAUUGUGCAUAUGAGUGACCGUGACUUUGUACUCAUCCUUUGUAAGAGAUUGUUUGGGGAUUAAGGAGCAAGAUCAAAGCUUACAUCUGUGAUUAUUAUAUAAUCAGAUUGGCUACUGCAUUCAAUAGAUAGUUAUGAAGCCUCAGUACUCAUCACUGUUAGACACUACGAAAGUAUUUGUGGUUUAAUGUUGUGUUCGCAAUAUGUAGGUCCUAGAUGGCUACCAAUUUGUUCUGAUCUCAAUUUCCGAAUCAAAUGAGCCAUGGAAACCGAUGCAAGUAAAAUCCUAGGUGGAUAUAUGUAUCUUAAGAUGUGUUUGUUUGGAAGAAAACUUCAUAAAAAAAAAAUGAAAAUGCUUUUUGAGAAAUUAUUUUUUUUUUAAGAAAAAUGAUUAGUUUUCUUUUGUUUGGUAAUAUGUGAUCAAAAACGUUUUUUUUUUUUAAAUAUUUUGAUAACAUUUGGAAAAUAAAUUCAAUAUCAUGACUAUAGCUCGAGCAAAAUAGAAAUCUUUUUUUAAAUAAUUUUUUUUUGUUUUUUUUCCCCUUCUUCCUCCUCACCAACCAUCAUCGAGGCCAACCCGUUUGGGCAAAACGUAUCAAGCAAGCAGGGCCUCGCUGCAACGAGGCGAGCACCUGUGGCCAAUGACAAUUCAAGAUGAGUAAUUCCAGAUAUUGUUUUUACCUUCUUAGAUUUGGGAAUUUAUUUUCCUAAUUUUAUGCAAAAAUAUUUUACUUGACCGGAAACUAUUUUCAGUUAACUAAGUAUUUUUUAUGAACCAAACCGUGAAAGUUUGGAAGCCUAAUUCCAUUAAAAAGACUUUUCCUCAAAUAAACGUAUCAUUAAGCUCCGCUUAUUUUGUGAGAAAUGAAUGAUUUGGAAUAUGUAAUUAUAUGGGCAAUUAGAUUUGUGAUAAUUGACCAUGAUAUACUUAACGUCAAAAAGAGAGAAAAAAAAAGCUUGUAAAGGCUCAUCAGUUGUCAUGUCUAUCUAGGGGUACCGAUUGCAAAAAAAAGGUAUGCCUCGCCACCCACUAUGGGUCUCUUUUGAGUGGUCCAGGGGCAGUUGGCCAGCUAUGGUCACUGUAAAAUAAUUUUUACGAAUGAAAGAGUGGACAAAACCGUGGAAUUUGUCGAUGUCCGGUCGAGAAUUUGUAGGUGCGCACAUUGAUUUGAUUGCCCCCAUUGUGAGUUCAUACACUUCCCCUCCAAUUUCGGCUUUAGAAGCAAUGCUAAUUGUCUGUUUAACAAAACUGUGAUGUUCUAUUUUCUACGAAGCAAAUCAACGUGAUUGUCGAUGAUGCCAAAUAAAUGAGAUCUCUGCAAAGUCCUUAAUAUUGUCAGAUUACAUGUAAUAAGAUUCAGAGAAAUGGUUGUAAGAUGACAUUAUUGUUACUUAACUCCAGGGCAAUGGCAACGUAAGCAACCUUUUCCUCGGCAUCCAAGAUAUUGUCCAAGCCACUUUUGUCGGGGGUAGAGGAAUGCGAAUGAUGAAGUUUAUCAAAGUGGAAAGAGAAUAGGGAAUACGAAUGAUAAAGGUUAUCUUAGUGGAAAGAGAAUGGGGAAUGCGAAUGAUAAAGGUUAUCAAAGUGGAAAGAGAAUGAAAAAUGCGAAUGAUGAAGGUUAUCAACAUGGAAAGAGAAUAUAGAUCGCAGGCUGAGAGUUAUUUCGCUAGCAAAAAAAAUAAAAUAAAGUACAUAUUUCCUCGAUCGUCUCCAGCUGAAAUGAUUACCAAUCAACUUGCACUAUGAAAAGACUAUGCGAAGCUACUGUGCGCCCUACAUUAUUUGGGUCUGCUAUAUGAGUUAGAUGCUUUGGAAGGGUUAAACAUCGAUCCUGCACUUUAAUGCAUAGGUUUUCGCCACUAUCGCGUGCCCUUUGUUUUGUUUUGCUUUAUUUAGGCGGUUGCUGGCCUGGCUCCAUAAAGGAGUCACUAAUCAGUCCAUGCGGGCAUAUGGAGGUCACGAUGCGAUGGAUCGGAUGUUCUCCGUUAGAAUAAGAGCUAAUCAUCCCCUUCUUAACUUACCAUUGAUGUCGUAUUCCACAUCGAUAUCGAGUAGAAAGAUGUUUUACAGCGAAAAUGAUAUUUUAAGCAACCCAUCUCGAAAAUGUUGUUAAUUCAUGCAAGCAUAAAAUUUCUCCAUUAUGUAUGAAUAAUGAAACUACCAAAACAAAAUGGUAAAAACUUGUCAAGAAACCACAUUUGUCUUUUAUUAUCCAGAGUCUUCUCAUUUUUGUUUUUAUGUAAGGUAACUUCAGGUUUAGCGAUAAUAGUAACAAGAUAUUCGAGUUUUGAAAACAAAUUCAAAAUCAUGAGAAAAUACUCAAGAGGAUACAUUACUUUAUUGCCAAUUCAUGUAAAAUACUCAAGAGGAUACAUUACUUUAUUGCCAAUUCAUGUUGAUCUUUUCACUAUUCAAAUUCAUUUUGUUCCUCUUAAAAUAGGCUUCUUCUUUUUUUUCCGAGAGGUGAAAGCGCAGCUGGGUCUCACACAUCAUUCAUCUUAAUAGCGAGUAUUGGACAUUCAUGGAACUUUUUUGCUAAAAACUUAAAUUUUGAUAAUGUUUCUGUGUUUUUUUUCCUCGUAAUUGAAUUUCGGGAAGACUUCAAGCCAUAUAUUUAGAAAUGCGUAGCUGUCCAUGGCUGAUAUUGGAACAAAGGGGACGUCAAUCCAUCUUUUGAAAGAAAUGUACCAGCAAGACACAAAAGUAAACAGUGAAAACAAUACGAACAAAUAAAAGCGAGUUGGAAGUCCCCAUCAGGGCUAUUAUCUCCAUCAGGCCGAACGACACUUGUGAACGGAAAUUCCAACACCGAAAGGGGAAUCGAGGAAGAGCAAAUUUACCUCUGCGACGAAACAACAAGAUGAUAUAAGUGAACUGUCAUCUAAAAUACAACCUCCUAGUGACGCCGUGGUGUCCAAGAGUUUGAAAGAAGUAACAUUUACUAUAAUUUUCAUUGGUUUAAAUAGGAUGCCUAACUUGCAUGAAAAGAUUCAUUACUUUGGAUUCUAAAGACCGUAAUGGGAGUGUCAUUUCAUAUCACAAAUUAACAUUACAAGCCUAUGCCCUAGAGAUACUCUAGUAUAUAUUCCAGUUAUUGCAUUACUUCUCAGAAAAUAUUUUGUGAAAAUGUCAUAUUUUUCGUGAAAUAAACGGAGCUUCAACUCCGAGAAAUGAUUAGAAUGACAAAAAUAGGGGCGGGUUAUAAAACGGCAGGCCAAGAGAUGGAAUUCUAAACGAGAAAGCGAUUUGUUUGAACCGACAUGGGCUCACAGGGUCAACGGAAGAUGCUGAAAACAAGAAGGGAUGGGAGAUAUUGUAAUGAAUGGUUGAUAGAACUCGUUAGAACUUAGCACCAAUUAUGCAGGUGUUACAAUUUUCUUGGGAAGCAAUGUUUUGCAUAUGAGUAUGCAUCUCUUGGCACCUAAUGGUCCGAUCGACUUUCACUUUCGUCCGUUUCUCACCCCAAGAUAAGAUCUCUAUGAUGAAAUUAUAGCUUUUUAACCAUAGAUAAGAAGCAAAUGCAAAAUCAAGCAAAACGGUCCUAAUUGUUCAUAGUUCGACCCUACAGUAAUCUCAUUUUGUAAUUGAAUCUUUAUGUUUUUCAAUACGGGAAGACAAUGGCCAAUUCCUUUUAUCAAAUGCCCAAUUCACUGUCACAUAGCGUUUGCACCACCAUUUCCCUUGCCUUGGCUUCAUCAAUAUCCGCAAUGCAGCUUGACUUCUCGUAACAAAAAAGAAGGAAGUAAGAUUUUUCGAGGCAUAGCAAUCGAUUUGUGCCUUGAAAAUGAGACGCGUUCACACGACAACCACUUCACACCAAGUCUUUGUUUAAUGUUUUCUAGCUCGCGGGCGCGUGUGUGGGCUGGGCUAAACCCCCAUUGAGUUACGUGUGUUUCAAAUAAUUGAGACCGAAAAAAGGGAUGAACUAUAAUUUCCCGUUUGUUGUCUGGUGCGGUCUAAUAUUGACAUAACUAAUGUGCAUGUUGAGAAAUUGUCCUAUGAUGCACUAUAGAGUCCUGUCAUGAUUGCAAAAAUGCGGGGCCAAGUGUAAAGCGAUGGUCAAAUGAUAAAAAACUUAGGUUAGAAAAUAAUAAUGAAACACAAUUAGAGGGUCAAAAGCGUAACAGGCAAACCCGAUGUAAAAUGAAGGGAAUUUCUUCGAUGUUAGAGGGCUCUCCCGCAGUUACAUUCCUAUAAAUAUGCGAAGAUGGAGCAAAGCCAACUCCCAAGAGUUCUCAGGCCCCCUGUUCCGUUUAACAUUGUGCUUCUUCCUCCUUCCUCCUCCCUUGAAACAGCUAGAAACAUUUGGUAAUCAGAUGGGUCGGUUUUAGUGGCCGCGGCAGUGCUACUCUGCACCACCUGCCGGUAGAUUGCUCCUUUGUCGAUGGUAAGCUUUCAAAACUUGGACAUAUUCAAUUGAAUGGCACAAACUUGUGGACGUUGAUAUCUGAAUAUCCUAUUUACCCUUUUAUUCUCUCUUAUGUUCAUCACUCAUCAAGAUCUGUUCACUUUAGUGUGCCUUUUUGUUACUUUUUGGUUCAUAAUUGUUUUUUGCUUAAGGGAAAAAGUUAUCCCAAAAAGAAAAUGGAUUUCUUUAAACCACUCGAUUCCAAAUAUCUGCUGAGUGUCCUUGAUCAUCUUCUCUUUGGUUCAUGGCGCCACUCAUCAUGAAUGUGAACUUGAUCUUUUGCUAAGCAAUUCUCACUUUGUGAAGUCGACAGAGAUUUGUAGGGUUCAUUUGUUUUGCUUAAGGAAAAAACAUGAUCCACAAUGAAGAAAAAAAAAACUGAAGCUUUCUUUACCCCACUUGAUUUCAAAUAUCGGCUAAGUGCCCUUUACAAGGGUUCAUCUUCUCUUUGGUUCAUGGUGCAACUCGUCAUGGACGUGAACUUGAUCUUUUGCUAAGCAAAUCUCAUACGGGUGUUUAACUCGUUGUUUUAGCAUCUCAUUUAACAAAUAAUAUCGUAGAAGCACUUCUAUAUUAAGGCUUUUUAUAUGUCAGUAUUAUAUUGUGAAUGACAAAUCCUCGUAUGAGUGCAGCCCAAGCCGUCACAGUCUCAUGGGGGAGAGAGAGAUGGAAGUCGAUUGGUCAUCUUUGCAUGUCUUGGCGAAAACUUCUGAAUUAGUUCACGAGAGACUGCUAAGUCUCUCUCCCACAGCUCAAACCCGACCGACCGAAUUGCCGCAUAUCUUCUGGAACAAAAUACUGGAGAUGCAUGGCCAGGGAGUGAUGCUCGUGCUAGAGAAGAGAUUGUGUGCCACGGACUUGAAGCGACGCAAUGGUUGGCUCUCCAUACCCCAGGGGCAGAUACGAACAAAUUUCUUGACCAGUGGAGAGAUCCGAGCCCUAGACAACAGGGAGGACAUUACAGUUUCCCUAAUCGAGCCUUGUCUGCAAGUACGCCAUGGGUUGCAGCUCCAGAAAUGGAAUAACGUGAGGAAUCAUUUUUCUUAUGUAUUGACCAGGAGGUGGACUGCUGUCACGCACCCGAUUGCGCGGAACAGACUCAGAAAGGGUGGCCUCGUCCAGCUUUGGUCCUUUAGAGCGAAUGGGGACCUUUGUUUCUGCCUCGUGAACGUUGAAGCACCCCCAGCUGCAGUGGAAAAUAUGGCUAAUUAAGAGUGAUAACUUAUUCUGUUUCAUGAAUUUCUGAAUCAAGUUAGGAAGUAGAUUGUGAGUUUGUGGAUCAACUUGGAUCGUCUGUGAUGUUAUUGUUGUUGGUGGUGGUGGUGGUGGUUUUUUUUUUUUUGCUUUUAUGGAGGAUUUGCGGUUGUUUAGUUUGUGGAUCAAUAUUAAUGGUGUUGUCGUUGUGUUUUCUUUUCUUUUUCUUUUUCUUUUUUAAUGGAGGAUCCUGUUGUUUAUCGUUUUUAACCUGGAAAUUGCAUGGGCUGUUGUUUCUUGUUCUUUUUAUUUUUUGAAGUCAUUGGAGAUUAAAAAGUAAUUCAUCUCUCUGUGCUAGAAUCGCCGUCAUUGAUUUUUGCAGACUUCGAUAGAGUUUCAGUUCCGGUGAAAGCCCUACUCCCAAGUUUGAAGACUUUUUCGUAAAAUACUUUCUAAGUAUUUUAAAACAUUUGUUUGGCCGACAAAAGGGCCUCCACAUCUGUUUUUUCUCCUCUUCAAACUACCUCUAAUUGGUGUAGUUUCGAAUUCAUAGGGUCCUCUUCUUUGGCUAGGGCAUAAAGAUGGCCAUCCUUUGCUCACAUUUGCUGUUGAACAAUGAAUUCUGGGUUUUUUCCGGUUCGGGCAAGCUUUUGGGUCGUGGAUGAUGAACCAGCCCACCACGUCUACACAAUUAUCCCGAUACUGAAUCCUGUGAUGAAUAAAGUGAUUGUAUGAGGAUAGGGUUUUUCCCAUUCAAGAGGUCAUAGCAUCCGGUGAUGAAAUGAAAUCAAGAAACGUAUUAGGCUAGUUCCUGAGUCGACCUUGGAACCCUGUAAUUGAGUCCGACAUGAUUUCUUAUCCAGAGAUCAAGAAAAAUGACUUUAUGCGGUGAAGGGAUGUGGAAAGAGUGAGGUGAGCAAUGGGGAGGAGGGAUUAAGGUUUCGACGCUUGAGGUGCACGCGAUGGUCCGGGGAGGAAGAGGAUCGGGAUCUCGGACAUAUUCCGACUUUGGAGCUCCGUUGAAGAGGUAGUGCAGCGCAAUGUUGUUACUCGAUUACUUCAGAAAGUCUGAUCUUGAAGCCAUGGACGCCUAGUCUCUUCAAGUGGGCAACUGCUGCUUGCGCAUGGAGCUCAUCGAGCAGCGUCGAGGCUGAACUCGGGCUUGGCACGGAGGGCAGAAUUGAAGGAGGAGGAGUUGCCAGGGCCUUCGGACACUCUGGUGAGUAACCUGUGUUAGAUUGCUCGGAGAAGCUGCGAGUUCAUGAGAUGAAAGAGUAGAAGAAAAGGGAAAUGAAAGGAAAAAGUACAAAAGGAAAACACCUGGAAAUUCAAGCAAUUAAUUAUAAGGGGAAAUGAUUAGCUUAACCGUACCGUUAGCUAAUGAAACACACUGCGAACCCUCCACCACACAUUUUCCCAUGCUUGCGAGACGGUUAGCAAGUUUCCACAAGGUUGUCCUGGAGGAAGAAAACUUUGAGCUGGGUCCCUCCACCGUAGUUAACGGUGGAGGGACCCAAUUACAAGCGACUUCGUUUUCUCUAGAAUUCUAACACGAUUAUGUCUCCUUAAUGGAAAAUGAUUAGCUAACAGUACCAUCAUUUUGCAAAUUCAGCCACGCUUUUUCUACAGAGGUUGAGGAAACAGGGAGACCGGUUGUACCACUUUCUUUUUCUUUUUUUUUUUCUUUUUUUUUUUUGACUUCCCAUGACAUCCUAUUAUCUUGGCUUUAUUUAGAAUUAGAUUAGAGAAUUUAAAAGGGAAAAUGAUUAGGUUGCAGUACCCAAGAAAAAUCCCCGUAAGUGGAUAUUUUUCCAAUCAAAGAAAAGUUUUUAAGUAAACUCAAAAAUUUUAAAUUGAAACUUUAAAGGAGUGAAUAUCAUACUCCACUAAAGAAAAUUUUUAGGGACUGCUGUCCCCAAAUAAAAUAAACCUAGUAACUCAAAUAAAAUAAAUUAAAAUGUGACCAUCCGAUAUACUUUGAACUUCUGAUUCUUUAGUAUUUUGCAAUGGAGAAAAAUUCAUUAGUAUCUACUUCAUUGAUCGUAAGAAAGUAAAAAAUAUUUGUUGACUAUUAAAUUUUAAUUGGUGUUUGUCAUUAUAUAUUUAGACAGAUAAUGGUUAAUUUUUUUUUCCUAAUCUCAUUCAGAUGGAUGGAGUUUGUAUUGCAUAUCUUCAUCUACUAGAUUUGUGGUGAUGAGAUAAUAUUUUCAUCUACUAAUUAUUAUUCUUAUCUUAAACUUUUUUUAAAACUCAUCUAUUUAUAUGCUUAAUCGAUAUAAAUGGUUCUUGAUUACGAAUGAUCGAAGAGUCCUUUUACUACAAUUUGAUUUGAGCGCAAGGAAGGAAGAGUCAUUUCAUUGCAGAGUGAUUUCAUUAUUAGUUGUACAGCUAACAUUUUAAAUAAUUUUUCAUCUUUAAAAUUUAAUAAAUGAUACUAAUGAUUUCUUUUAAAUUAGUGAUGAUAUUUUUUUCACCUAUGAUUAUCUGUAUUACGGUACUUAAAUUGCUUUUCCAUUCUUCUUAUUCAAAAUGUUCCACUUACUAGAAUUUUUCCACUUGUGAUUUGGUACUGUUAGCUUUUAGCUAAUAAUUUGCCUUUUCAAUUACUCCAAUCUAAUCCUAAAUUAAGCCAAGAAAAUAGGAAGCCAUGGGAAGUCAAAAAGGAAAAAGAAAAAAUCACUGGAGCCAAUCUCCCUAUUUCCUCGAUAAAAGAUGUGGUUGACGUUAGACGGUUCUUACCGUCACAAAAGCCCUACCGGCGACUGCUUUUGCUCUGAAGAUCUGAUCAUAAAAUUUCACGAACGACCGUCGUGGAUGUUACUGCCGAAUCAAACCGUGGGGCAUUUUGACAUGGUGACUGAUUAUGGAGGCAAUUCACACUUUCAUAUCACCUUAAUGCAUCAGUGCAAGCAAGACAAAUGAAAUCUCUAGCCCUGCUUGCAAAAUUAGUUCCUCAUUGUACGCAUCAUCCUGAUCAUGCUCGUCUUCCUCUUCGGUCUCCCUACUGAUCUCAGCGGGGUAGACAGGUUGUCCGAAAACAGGAAAAGUGCCAAAAAAAGUCUUAAACUUUUUGUUUUUGUGCCGAUUUAGUCCUAAACCUUUUUUUGGUGCCGAUUUAGUCAUAAACCUUUUUUACGUUGUGCCAAUUCAAUCCUUUCCGGCCAAUUUUGGCCGGAUUUUGCUGACUGGACGCCGGCCAACUAACAUGGCCUGAUUGGCACUGAUGUUGACAAUUUUUAAUAAUAUUUUAAUAUUUUUGAAUUUCUUUUCUUUUUUUCUUUUUCCUUUUUUCUUUUUUUCUUCCCUCUUCUUCCUCUAGCCAGUCGCCGGACCUCGGCGAUCAACCACCUCGCCAGAGGCCACGAGGGCGGCCUCGCACUGGGCGGCGAGGCUCAACCUCGCCAUAUCCAACAAGGGCGAGCCUCGCCUGCUCGGCGCGAGGCCGCCCUCGAGGCCUGGGCGGCGAGGCUUGCCCUCACCAGAUUUGGCGAGGAUCGAGCCUCGCCCGACGAAUCGUCACCACGGGGGAAACCAGGCAAAUAUCUGGGGCUGGAGCCAUGCGACCAAGGACACCUCAAGCUCCUAUAAAACCCUAGAGACGACGACGAUUAAGCGGAGGGAGGAAAUUUCUAGGGCGAGAUUGGGAUCAGGGAAUGGAGUGGGGAGAGCUAGCCUCGCGCCGAGCUGGCGGGGCUCACCCUUGCCGGCCGUCGCCUCUGGCCGGUUCCCGAGGUCUAGCGACCAGCUAGAGGAAGAAGAGAGAAGAAAAAAAGAAAAAUUCAAAAUUCAAAAAAGCAGAAAAAAAUUCAAAAAAAAUUCAAAAAUAUUAAAUUAUUAUUAAAAGUUGUCCAUGUCAGCGAUCAGGCCACAUCAGCCGGUCGGCAUCUAGUCAGCAAAAUCCGGUCAAAAUUGAUCGGAAAUGACUGAAUAGGCACAACGUAAAAAGGUUUAGGACUAAAUCGGAACCAAAAAAAGGUUUAAGACUAAAUCGGCAUAAAGACAAAAGAUUUAUGACUUUUUUUGGCACUUUUCCCUCCAAAAACGGUUUUAUGUCAACGGCUUGAAGUAAUCCAAAACAGCAUCGAUCAAAUUGUGUGUACCUAAUAGCAAGAUACAUACGUGGCUUUUGAGAUUAUAGUUGGGUUCGUGUUUGAUCCAAAAAAUUUGUGCGAGUCGUGCGUCGUUGAAUUGCUCGCAAGAAGUCAUUGGAAAGUAAGGAAAUAAAAUAACCUGAACUUUUCUUGUUUGAAGGCUGAGGAUCGAACCUAAAAAAGAAUCCUUUCUCGUUCUUUUAAGCAGCGCUGAAUCCGUUGCGUUAUCGAAAGGAACUAGCUGGUGAACUUACGAUGCUUCGUAUGAAUUCAGGGAAAUCAUGCAAGUUCAUCAGAAACCCUAGAAAUGGUUGCUCUUGCUGGUGCACUGCACGUUAGAGAAUUCAGCACCUUCUUCCCACUUCUUUACUGAAAAGAGAAGACAACGUAUCAAUGGACAUUCCACUCGGCGCAAGAUUAAAAAAAAAAAAAAAGCGUCGAUGCUUCAUUAACACGUGCAAUAUUUGAUCCACACCGCAAGGCCGCGGCGGUGUCGGAGAAGCGAAGAGGAGGUGAAGAGAGCUCUUGCCGGAUGAGAAGGUGUGAGGGAGGGCAUCUCACGGCGGCAGUUCGGUGAUUUUCACGGUCGCGGCGGCUAUUUUCUCCCCGGGGUCAGAGCUUACUAGCGAAGCGGGGUGUCUGCCAGGGCGUCUCCCAUGGUCCGAAUAUUUCAAA